This 407-nucleotide ribosomal RNA is filed under the name uncultured bacterium. RNAcentral's name for it is "partial 16S ribosomal RNA". It matches the Rfam family "Bacterial small subunit ribosomal RNA", at positions 30 to 526 of the family's 1533-position model. The record is from RNAcentral.
AUUGAACGCUGGCGGCAGGCCUAACACAUGCAAGUCGAGCGGAGCGGCGGACGGGUGAGUAAUGCCUAGGAAUCUGCCUGGUAGUGGGGGAUAACGUCCGGAAACGGGCGCUAAUACCGCAUACUAUCAGAUGAGCCUAGGUGGGAUUAGCUAGUUGGUGGGGUAAAGGCCUCCCAAGGCGUCGCUCCUUAACUGGUCUGAGAGGAUGAUCAGUAACACGGGAACUGAGGCACGGUCCAGACUCCGACGGGAGGCAGCAGUGGGGAUUAUUGGACAAUUGGCGAAAGCCUGAUCCAGCCAUGCCGAGUGUGUGAAGAAGGUCUUCGGAUUGUAAAGCACUUUAAUUUGGGAGGCUUUACCAACAGAAUAUGCACCGGCGAACUUCGUGCCAGCCGCCGCGGUAAUAC